Molecule: transfer RNA, 88 nt
Filed under: Methylacidiphilales bacterium
Lineage: Bacteria; Pseudomonadati; Verrucomicrobiota; Methylacidiphilae; Methylacidiphilales
Description: Candidatus Methylacidiphilales bacterium tRNA-Ser
Rfam family: tRNA
About the family: Transfer RNA (tRNA) molecules are approximately 80 nucleotides in length. Their secondary structure includes four short double-helical elements and three loops (D, anti-codon, and T loops). Further hydrogen bonds mediate the characteristic L-shaped molecular structure. tRNAs have two regions of fundamental functional importance: the anti-codon, which is responsible for specific mRNA codon recognition, and the 3' end, to which the tRNAs corresponding amino acid is attached (by aminoacyl-tRNA synthetases). tRNAs cope with the degeneracy of the genetic code in two manners: having more than one tRNA (with a specific anti-codon) for a particular amino acid; and 'wobble' base-pairing, i.e. permitting non-standard base-pairing at the 3rd anti-codon position.
Source: RNAcentral
GGACAGGUGGCUGAGUGGUUUAAGGCACUCGACUCGAAAUCGAGCGUACCCUUUAAAGGUACCGUGGGUUCGACUCCCACCCUGUCCG